AUGAUGACCCGGCCACUUGGAAGCAAUGAGAAGCCAUUGGGUCUGUUUGCUUCUCUUGACAUUAAAAAUAAGGACAUGAGGCUUGUGUCUUUUUCUACGGAAAGGAUGUCAUAUAUUGAUCCCAACUACCGGCCAUGUACUGUUUCACGUUACUUCAACAACACCUCUGUUGCAGGGAAGCCUCUCAAAAGUAAGAACAAGAAAGCUGCACCGAGGUUUAUUAUUGGUGAAAAUCUGAGGUGGAUUGGUUCGGUUAAAUUAGCAGUGCUCCGCAACAUCCUUGUUGCCAUUCAAAGGCUCACGUCGUUAGAUGCAAUACUGAUGAAACCAGAAAGGCCGGAUGAAACACAGCUAGAUCAAACACGGCUAAGGAAUUGCUCUGCCUCUGUUGAAAUGCUUGGCCAGAUGGCCCAUGGUAUUAGUUCGUACACUGAUCAUUUACCUGCAACCAGCAUCCAAUACCAUGUUGACGCACUUAAAGAAGGGUUUUCUAUUUUGGGUGGUAAGACUUUCCCAUUUAUGGACAAUGACGAGUAUGCAAGUUUUGUCGAUAUCACACACUUCAAAAUAUUGGAUGUCGUAAAAGUGGCGCGCAGCAGUCUUGUAAAAGAAUUGCUGCCUAAAAGACUGGACGAUCCACAUUAUUCGCUCCGAUCUGUGGAACGGACUCUUAUGUAUGGAGAGCUGCCACUGACACCGUAUCUGAGGCGUCUUGACCUGUCAGAAGGAUGUGCUUAG
This 738-nucleotide ribosomal RNA is filed under the name Triticum aestivum (bread wheat). RNAcentral's name for it is "partial small subunit ribosomal RNA". Lineage: Eukaryota; Viridiplantae; Streptophyta; Magnoliopsida; Poales; Poaceae. The record is from RNAcentral.